This 292-nucleotide ribosomal RNA is filed under the name uncultured bacterium. Its description in RNAcentral is "partial 16S ribosomal RNA". It matches the Rfam family "Bacterial small subunit ribosomal RNA", at positions 335 to 604 of the family's 1533-position model. The record is from RNAcentral.
ACUCCUACGGGAGGCAGCAGUGGGGAAUAUUGCACAAUGGGGAACCCUGAUGCAGCCAUGCCGCGUCGUGCUGAAGAAGGCCAUUAGCCGGGUUGGUUAAAGCAACUUUCAGCGAGGUAGGAAAGGGUGUGUGCGAUGAUGACCUAUACAUCUUGUUGACGUUACUCGCAGAAGAAGCACCGGCUAACUCCGUGCCAGCAGCCGCGGUAAUACGGAGGGUGCGAGCGUUAAUCGGAAUUACUGGGCGUAAAAGCGUGCGCAGGCGGUUUGUUAAGCGAGAUGUGAAAGCCCC